RNAcentral lists this ribosomal RNA (421 nucleotides) under uncultured bacterium. RNAcentral describes it as "partial 16S ribosomal RNA". It matches the Rfam family "Bacterial small subunit ribosomal RNA", at positions 360 to 773 of the family's 1533-position model. The record is from RNAcentral.
AAUAUUUGACAAUGGGUGCAACCCUGAUCCAGCCAUGCCGCGUGUGUGAAGAAGGUCUUCGGAAUGUACAUCACUUUAAGUUGGGAGAUAGGGCUUUAGGUUAAUACCCUGAAGUUUUGACGUUAGCAACUGAAUAAGUACCGGCUAACUCUGUGCCAGCAGCCGCGGUAAUACAGAGGGUGCAAGCGUUAAUCGGAAUUACUGGGCGUAAAGCGCGCGUAGGUGGUUUGUUAAGUUGGAAGUGAAAGCCCCGGGCUCAACCUGGGAACUGCUUUCAUAACUGCUGAGCUAGAGUACGGUAGAGGGUAGUGGAAUUUCCUGUGUAGCGGUGACAUGCGUAGAUAUAGGAAGGAACACCAGUGGCGAAGGCGACUACCUGGACUGAUACUGACACUGAGGUGCGAAAGCGUGGGGAGCAAAC